This 497-nucleotide ribosomal RNA is filed under the name uncultured bacterium. RNAcentral's name for it is "partial 16S ribosomal RNA". It matches the Rfam family "Bacterial small subunit ribosomal RNA", at positions 28 to 507 of the family's 1533-position model. The record is from RNAcentral.
GAUGAACGCUGGCGGCGUGCCUAAUACAUGCAAGUCGAGCGAACAGACGAGGAGCUUGCUCCUCUGACGUUAGCGGCGGACGGGUGAGUAACACGUGGAUAACCUACCUAUAAGACUGGGAUAACUUCGGGAAACCGGAGCUAAUACCGGAUAAUAUAUUGAACCGCAUGGUUCAAUAGUGAAAGCCGGUUUUGCUGUCACUUAUAGAUGGAUCCGUGCCGCAUUAGCUAGUUGGUAAGGUAACAGCUUACCAAGGCAACGAUGCGUAGCCGACCUGAGAGGGUGAUCGGCCACACUGGAACUGAGACACGGUCCAGACUCCUACGGGAGGCAGCAGUAGGGAAUCUUCCGCAAUGGGCGAAAGCCUGACGGAGCAACGCCGCGUGAGUGAUGAAGGUCUUCGGAUCGUAAAACUCUGUUAUUAGGGAAGAACAAAUGUGUAAGUAACUAUGCACGUCUUGACGGUACCGAAUCAGAAAGCCACGGCUAACUACGUG